This 1301-nucleotide ribosomal RNA is filed under the name metagenome. Its description in RNAcentral is "SSU rRNA". It matches the Rfam family "Eukaryotic small subunit ribosomal RNA", at positions 454 to 1777 of the family's 1831-position model. The record is from RNAcentral.
GCACGGGGAGGUAGUGACGAAAAAUAACGAUACGGAACUCAUACGAGGCUCCGUAAUCGGAAUGAGUACACUUUAAAUCCUUUAACGAGGAUCUAUUGGAGGGCAAGUCUGGUGCCAGCAGCCGCGGUAAUUCCAGCUCCAAUAGCGUAUAUUAAAGUUGUUGCGGUUAAAAAGCUCGUAGUUGGAUCUCGGUUUCACUCAGGUGGUACACCUUGCGGUGUUCACUAUCUGGGUGGACGUUUCUGUUGGUUCGCUCUUGGUGCUCUUCAUCGGGUGCCAUUUGGUGGCCAGCACGUUUACUUUGAAAAAAUUGGAGUGCUCAAAGCAGGCGUUACAGCCUGAACAUUAGUGCAUGGAAUAAUGGAAUAGGAUCUCGAUUCUAUUUCGUUGGCUUUCGGAGUCAAGGUAAUGAUUAAUAGGGACAGACGGAGGCAUUCGUACUGCGACGUUAGAGGUGAAAUUCUUGGAUCGUCGCAAGACGAACUACUGCGAAAGCAUUUGCCAAGAAUGUUUUCAUUAAUCAAGAACGAAAGUUAGAGGUUCGAAGGCGAUCAGAUACCGCCCUAGUUCUAACCAUAAACGAUGCCAACCGGCGAUCCGUCGUCGUUAAUUGAAUGACUCGACGGGCAGCCUCCGGGAAACCAGAGUGUUUGGGUUCCGGGGGAAGUAUGGUUGCAAAGCUGAAACUUAAAGGAAUUGACGGAAGGGCACCACCAGGAGUGGAGCCUGCGGCUUAAUUUGACCCAACACGGGAAAUCUCACCAGGCCCGGACACCGGAAGGAUUGACAGAUUGAGAGCUCUUUCUUGAUUCGGUGGGUGGUGGUGCAUGGCCGUUCUUAGUUGGUGGAGCGAUUUGUCUGGUUAAUUCCGAUAACGAACGAGACUCUGGCCUACUAACUAGAAGGUCUAUCCUUUAUGGGUAGGCCUCUGCUUCUUAGAGGGACGGGCGGCGUUUAGCCGCACGAGAAUGAGCAAUAACAGGUCUGUGAUGCCCUUAGAUGUUCUGGGCUGCACGCGCGCUACACUGAAGGAAUCAGCAUGUUCUCCCCUCCCUGAAAAGGGCGGGUAACCCGUUGAAACUCCUUCGUGAUGGGGAUUGGAGAUUGUAAUUAUUCUCCAUGAACGAGGAAUUCCCAGUAGGCGCGAGUCAUCAGCUUGCGUCGAUUACGUCCCUGCCCUUUGUACACACCGCCCGUCGCUACUACCGAUCGAGUGAUUUAGUGAGGACUUCGGACUGGUCUUCAAGUUGGCUUCGGUCGGCUCGAAGUUCCGGAAAGAUGCCCAAACUUGAUCACUUAGA